CCAGCGGCGAUGCUACGCCGCAUGGGGGAUGGUUCGGCUAGAGCGCUGAAGAAGGUCGUGUCAAGCAGCGAUAUGCGUCGGGUAGGUGCACGAAGCCUAUGAUCCGACGAUUACCUAAUGGGACUUCCUAUUCUUCGGAAUGAUCAGUCAUGAUCGGGAACGCGGGGGAUUGAAGCAUCUUAGUACCCGCAGGAAAAGAAAUCAACCGAGAUGCCGUUAGUAAAGGCGAUCGAAAGCGGCAGCAGGGCAAACCGAAUCCCUCAUGGAAACAUAAGGGAGAUGUGGAGUUUUGGACUCGUUUACUCCUGGAGCGGACAUAUCCGCAGUGGUCUGGAAAGACCCGCCAUAGAGGGUGAUAGCCCCGUAGGAGAAAUUCCGUAUGGAGAUUUUCGAGUAUCCGGAGUAGUGUGUGUCGGAUAUCACGCAUGAAUUCGGGAGGCAUUCGCUUCCAACCCUAAAUACGUCUCUAGUCCGAUAGUGCAGUAGUAGUGUGAACGAAAACUGAAAAGUACCCUUAACGGGAGGUCAAAA
RNAcentral lists this ribosomal RNA (531 nucleotides) under Candidatus Methanomethylophilaceae archaeon. RNAcentral's name for it is "partial 23S ribosomal RNA". It matches the Rfam family "Archaeal large subunit ribosomal RNA", at positions 1 to 535 of the family's 2987-position model. The record is from RNAcentral. Lineage: Archaea; Methanobacteriati; Thermoplasmatota; Thermoplasmata; Methanomassiliicoccales; Methanomethylophilaceae.